RNAcentral lists this transfer RNA (71 nucleotides) under Lactococcus lactis. It matches the Rfam family "tRNA". From Rfam's summary of the family: Transfer RNA (tRNA) molecules are approximately 80 nucleotides in length. Their secondary structure includes four short double-helical elements and three loops (D, anti-codon, and T loops). Lineage: Bacteria; Bacillati; Bacillota; Bacilli; Lactobacillales; Streptococcaceae. The record is from RNAcentral. RNAcentral also lists the same sequence under 1 other name.
AUCUUUAGCUCAGUUGGUUAGAGCUAUCGGCUCAUAACCGAUCGGUCGCUGGUUCGAAUCCAGCAAGAUCC